RNAcentral lists this long non-coding RNA (1198 nucleotides) under Pan troglodytes (chimpanzee). RNAcentral describes it as "lncRNA (ENSPTRG00000053921.1)". The record is from RNAcentral. Lineage: Eukaryota; Metazoa; Chordata; Mammalia; Primates; Hominidae.
UUCAGCGAUAUUUCUCUUACCCAUUUUAGGUAAUAAGAGAAAUAUGGCUCUGUCCUGCUUGGCCCACAGGCAGCCAGACUUUAAGGUUAUCUCCCUUGUUCCCUGAAAAUCACUGUUAUCCUGCUCUUAAGGUGCCCAGAUUUCAUAUUGUUCAAACACACAUGCUCUACAAACAAUUUGUGCAGUUAACGCAAUCAUCACAAGGUCCUGAGGCGACAUACAUCCUCAGUUUAUGAAGAUGACAGGAUUAAGAGAUUAAAGCAAAGACAGACAUAGGAAAUCACAAGAGUACUGAUUGCGGAAGUGAUAAAUGUCCAUGAAAUCUUCACAAUUGAUGUUCUUCUGCCGUGGCUUCAGCUGGUCCCUCCGUUCAGGGUCCCUGACUUCUUUCAACACCUAUCCUGUCAUUCUUUAGAGAGCUUGUUCCUGAAGCAUGGUGCUAAGUCCAUUUGCAGCAGAUGGAGCUCAUGAGAAAAGAGUUGCUCUUGUGAAGACCAAAGCUUGAAAUGGUCAAUUACAAAGCACAACAUAAGACUGGAACAUUGGAGUUAAGUAGCAGAGAUCAAAACAAAAGCAUUCCCAGAAGCACGGAGAAGUGAGGAGAAAAGGCAAUGCACCUGGAGCUGGAGACCAAGACCCCGUUCUUACUGAUGGCCCUUGGAGCAGAUAUUUGAAUUGGAGAGAUAAAACCGUGGUUUUUGGGGUGUUAAUUUUGGUGGCUGAUGCAUUCUGUGAUUGAUUUGGCUAUUACAACUGGUAUUGAUUUUAAACACAUUAAUUGCAAAAUCUCAAUUGUGAUUUGAUUUCUGUAUUUACAAUACUAAAAACGAGGCUUUCGCCAGGAGAAGACAAUUGGCAGUACUCAGUUGGAAGUGCUUAAUUGUUAAUAUAUAUCAGCCGUGGUUCUUCAGCGUCGUCAGUGUUGCUCAGUCUUGCUCUUUGUGGCGACUACUGAAUGCUUGAAAAAUUCUCUCCUAUACUCCCACUCUGCGCUGUAGAAGAGAAAGAGAGGAGAGUGGAAGAAAAAAGAGAGGGAGAGGAGAAAGAAAGAAAGGAGAGAGAAACAUGGGCAUGGAUGAUACAUAAGAUAAUUCCAGAAGAUUUCAGCAUAGCAGAUAAAAUACAGCAAAUCCUAACCAGCACAGGUUUGAGUGACAAACGGGCCGGUUCCAUGGGCACAGAUGACUUCAUCAGGUAA